UACGAAGGGGGCUAGCGUUGUUCGGAAUCACUGGGCGUAAAGGGCGCGUAGGCGGCCGUUCAAGUCGGGGGUGAAAGCCUGUGGCUCAACCACAGAAUGGCCUUCGAUACUGGACGGCUCGAGACCGGAAGAGGUCAGUGGAACUGCGAGUGUAGAGGUGAAAUUCGUAGAUAUUCGCAAGAACACCAGUGGCAAAGGCGGCUGACUGGUCCGGUUCUGACGCUGAGGCGCGAAAGCGUGGGGAGCAAACAGG
This 253-nucleotide ribosomal RNA is filed under the name uncultured bacterium. RNAcentral describes it as "partial 16S ribosomal RNA". It matches the Rfam family "Bacterial small subunit ribosomal RNA", at positions 524 to 776 of the family's 1533-position model. The record is from RNAcentral.